Long non-coding RNA from Coregonus clupeaformis (lake whitefish), 692 nucleotides. RefSeq lists it as uncharacterized. The record is from RefSeq and is a predicted model, not a curated record. The transcript has 6 exons. NCBI's taxonomy places the organism in Eukaryota, Metazoa, Chordata, Actinopteri, Salmoniformes, Salmonidae.
AACUAGCUAAUUAAAGUUGGUAUUUGAAAGCGCUAUUUGUUUCUAGCAGUCUACAUCUGAUAUGACAUUUUUUGUAAUCAUUUUCUAGAUCAAGGAUAUCCACCUUUUAUCUACCAACACAUUUGAAAAUACAGUACAACCCCAAUCAAAGUGCGAGUCCGCUUUGAGAAUGUUCUGGAGGAGGUGACCCACUACACCCCUGGCUACAUGGAGGAGAUGGACUCUAUCUUUGACCAAUCACAAGAGGAGGAGAGGAAGAGAAUCACCAACAAUGAGAGGAGUGGGCACCAAAAAAGUGAAUAAGAGGUAGAGGCACAGCAAGACACCAUACAGUCUAAUGGAUGGGAUGCCAGUGAGAUGUUCAACUACGGAGUCAACUCCACCUAUGGCUUCCUCUUCAUGUACACCUGAGUAUUCUCCUCAGUCUGUGUCUUUUUAGAAGUGUUCCUCUGGAGAGGCCUGCCUCAGAUGAAUGAGACCGAGGGCAACCUCCAGAUACCACCACCUCGUCUCACUAAACAACAAUGAAGGCAAGACUGAGGAGUACAAGUACAGUACCAUGGUCUAAGACAGAGAGGCGACAUGAAUGAGUAGUGACGAUGGCAGGUGAUUCUCUAGAGGACUCUAUUCCUCGGAAUGCAAUUAGUUUAAUCAGGUGUGUUAGCUGGGGUAUGGGAAAAAGUGUGACACCA